UUAAUACAAAUUUCAAUAAUAUUUUGUUUUCUUAAGUUUUGUAAUUAAUUAAAUAUAAAAAAUAUUUUUUCAAAUAAUUUAAAAAAAAUUUCUUUCUAUAAUUCUAUAUAAAAAAUAUUCAUAUUAAAAAAGUGAUUAUAAUAAGAGAAUAAGAAAAUAAUAUAAAAUAUUAUAAAAUUUUUUCGCGAAAAAUUUUUUUUUUCGCAAGAAAUUUCCCAAGGACUUAUUAGUAUGUUUUGCGAAAAUAUAUGUAAAAGUAUGUCACAAACAUAAAUGUCAAUAUAUUCAACUUUCUUCGAAGGAACAAUGUAUAAAAUAAAAGGUACUUCAUGUAAACUUUAGUUUUCAAGGUUCAGAAAGUAAUAAAGAAAUGAGAAGUCGAUUGCGAAAAAUUUGUUUAGUGCAGCUGCAAAGUUCAGAUGCAAGGCGCGAAACAGUGUAAUCACGUGGUGGCUGUGUACAAAUAUCUGUAUCUCCGGCGUGGUGUUUUCUACGCACGUCUGGUCGCGUGUGAGUGAGAGUAUAAAUAAACGAGGAUAGUCGUAUUAUCUGCGACGUGCAUAACUAUUGUGUACGAUGCCCGUAGUUCUGAGAUUGAGACCUAACAAUUUAACGUUUAAUGCCCGUCGCAUCGUUUACUCCAUUUGUCAAAACAAAGAAAGCUUUUGCUUUCUGUACAGAAUUACGAGAGAUUUUUAAUUUGAUUUCUAUAUAUAUAUAUAAAAAAAAAGAAGAAAAUAUUUGAAUUCAAUUAACCGUAUAUUUUUCAUUAAUUUAUAUAUUUCACUUUCAGAAAAUAAAAUUUUUGAUAAUUUAGUAUUUAGCAAAUAUAUAUUUCUUUUAUCUAAAAAAAACUUUUUAUUAAAAAAAUAAUAUGUUAUGAAUAUUAUAUACUUACUUAUUAUAUAGUUAAAUUAUUAAAUGCCUGAUUCAUAAUAUUCUAUUUAUGUAUAAAUCUUUCUGGAAACAAUGGCUCGUUUAAUUUUCUUCAUUGUAUAUUAUUAAGAUUAAUUUUAUAAUUAUCAUAUAAUAUUUAUUUUUUAAUCUCUUGUUUAAAUUUGCUAUAGAUAAGAUAAUAAAAUCUUUACGACAAUAUUUUUAUUAAAUAAAUCGAGAAUUAUUGAAAAAAAAUUACAAUUCUUUAAAAUUCUUGUAUUAUAAUUGUAAUAAAGCGUUUUGGAAAAUUUCUAUGUUUAACAAAUAUUUUUCAAUGAGUCAUCUUGAUUAAUUUCUAUUAGAUUUAAAUACAGUUCUCAUAUUUUAAUAUGGAGGUUUAACAUAUUUAAAUCUCUCUAAUCUUUGAAUUCAGCCAAUGAAAUUAGGAGUUCCAGAUGCACGCUGCGACACGUUCGCGUAAUGCUUCAACAGAUACUAAUAUCGCAGCCAUUUAUCCGUAUGCGUGCAAAUAUCAUUCUUCAGUAGCAUUCACGACACGCUCGAGCGUUAUAGACGCUGAAUAUCGUAUCGUAUAAUAACGUCUAAAUAUUCAUCUCUUCUAUUACUGCUCUUAGUCAUAUGAAAUAUAAAUGUUCAGAUUUCCAGGAUUGGGUUAAAGAUUUUGAUUGAAAAUUCAACCUUGAAGCCCGAAAGCAAUCAAGGAUAUCCAGAAAGAAUACAAGUACCUGUCGGAUAUUACAGAAACAGGAAAACGAGAAAAAAAUCUUCGUGGUUUCG
Molecule: RNA transcript, 1674 nt
Organism: Apis cerana (Asiatic honeybee)
Lineage: Eukaryota; Metazoa; Arthropoda; Insecta; Hymenoptera; Apidae
Source: RefSeq, a predicted model, not a curated record